This 1454-nucleotide ribosomal RNA is filed under the name uncultured bacterium. Its description in RNAcentral is "bacterial SSU rRNA". It matches the Rfam family "Bacterial small subunit ribosomal RNA". The record is from RNAcentral.
GAUGAACGCUAGCGACAGGCUUAACACAUGCAAGUCGAGGGGCAGCAUAUAAAUUAGUUUACUAUUUAAUGAUGGCGACCGGCGCACGGGUGAGUAACGCGUAUGCAACCUACCUUAUACACAGGCAUAGCCCAUGGAAACGUGGAUUAACUCCUGAUAGUAUUAUUAAAAGGCAUCUUUUAAUAAUUAAAUAUUUAUAGGUAUAAGCUGGGCAUGCGUCCUAUUAGAUAGUUGGAGAGGUAACGGCUCCCCAAGUCAAUGAUAGGUAGGGGUUCUGAGAGGAAGGUCCCCCACACUGGUACUGAGACACGGACCAGACUCCUACGGGAGGCAGCAGUGAGGAAUAUUGGUCAAUGGACGUAAGUCUGAACCAGCCAAGUCGCGUGAGGGAUGACUGCCCUAUGGGUUGUAAACCUCUUUAGUUCGGGAAGAACUGUAUCUACGUGUAGAUAUUUGCCUGUACCGAAAGAAUAAGCAUCGGCUAACUCCGUGCCAGCAGCCGCGGUAAUACGGGGGAUGCGAGCGUUAUCCGGAUUUAUUGGGUUUAAAGGGUGCGUAGGCGGUAAAAUAAGUUAGUGGUAAAAUCUCUAUGCUCAACAUAGUUCAGCCAUUAAAACUGUUUUACUCGAGUACAGUCGAGGUAGGCGGAAUAAGUUAAGUAGCGGUGAAAUGCUUAGAUAUAACUUAGAACUCCAAUUGCGAAGGCAGCUUACCAGCCUGUAACUGACGCUGAUGCACGAUAGCGUGGGUAGCAAACAGGAUUAGAUACCCUGGUAGUCCACGCCGUAAACUAUGCUCACUGAUUCUAUGCGAUAUGACCGUAUGGGAUCCAGCGAAAGUAUUAAGUGAGCCACCUGGGGAGUACGUCGGCAACGAUGAAACUCAAAGGAAUUGACGGGGGCCCGCACAAGCGGAGGAACAUGUGGUUUAAUUCGAUGAUACGCGAGGAACCUUACCCGGGUUUAAAUGUUGAAUGAUCGGGGCCGAAAGGUCUUUUCUCUUCGGAGCAUUUUUCAAGGUGCUGCAUGGUUGUCGUCAGCUCGUGCCGUGAGGUGUCGGGUUAAGUCCCCUAACGAGCGCAACCCCUAUCUUUAGUUGCCAUCAGGUCGUGCUGGGCACUCUAACGAGACUGCCACCGUAAGGUGAGAGGAAGGCGGGGAUGACGUCAAAUCAGCACGGCCCUUACACCCGGGGCUACACACGUGUUACAAUGGACGGAACAGAGGGUUGCUACUUAGUGAUAAGAUGCUAAUCUCAAAAUCCGUUCUUAGUUCGGAUUGGAGUCUGUAACUCGACUCCAUGAAGUUGGAUUCGCUAGUAAUCGCGCAUCAGCCAUGGCGCGGUGAAUACGUUCCCGGGCCUUGUACACACCGCCCGUCAAGCCAUGGAAUCUGGGGGUGCCUGAAGUUCGUGACCGCAAGGAGCGACCUAGGGCAAAACCGGUAACUGGGGCU